UGAGGAACAUGACCUUCGGCGGGGGAGUAGCCGGCCCAACGGCCGGGUAAUACCGCGUACGACCACUUUGGGACAUCCCUCGGUGGUGAAAGCAGCAAUGCGCCGAUGGAGUGCCUCGCGGCCUAUCAGCUAGUUGGUGAGGUAACGGCUCACCAAGGCGACGACGGGUAGCUGGUCUGAGAGGAUGGCCAGCCACACUGGGACUGAGACACGGCCCAGACCCCUACGGGAGGNAGCG
This 238-nucleotide ribosomal RNA is filed under the name uncultured bacterium. Its description in RNAcentral is "partial 16S ribosomal RNA". It matches the Rfam family "Bacterial small subunit ribosomal RNA", at positions 118 to 352 of the family's 1533-position model. The record is from RNAcentral.